RNAcentral lists this ribosomal RNA (490 nucleotides) under uncultured bacterium. RNAcentral's name for it is "partial 16S ribosomal RNA". It matches the Rfam family "Bacterial small subunit ribosomal RNA", at positions 28 to 507 of the family's 1533-position model. The record is from RNAcentral.
GAUGAACGCUAGCUACAGGCUUAACACAUGCAAGUCGCGGGGCAGCAUGGGGGUUGCUUGCAAUCCCCGAUGGCGACCGGCGCACGGGUGAGUAACGCGUAUUCAACCUGCCCUUCACCACGGGAUAACCCGGCGAAAGUCGGACUAAUACCGUAUGUUGUCCAUUGACGGCAUCCGAUUUGGACGAAAGGCUUGGCGGUGAGGGAUGGGGAUGCGUCCGAUUAGCCAGACGGCGGGGUAACGGCCCACCGUGGCUACGAUCGGUAGGGGUUCUGAGAGGAAGGUCCCCCACACUGGAACUGAGACACGGUCCAGACUCCUACGGGAGGCAGCAGUGAGGAAUAUUGGUCAAUGGACGUAAGCCUGAACCAGCCAAGUAGCGUGCAGGAUGACGGCCCUAUGGGUUGUAAACUGCUUUUAUGCGGGGAUAAAGUGGCCCACGUGUGGGCUUUUGCAGGUACCGCAUGAAUAAGGACCGGCUAAUUCCGUG